This 72-nucleotide transfer RNA is filed under the name Sphaerodactylus townsendi. Its description in RNAcentral is "tRNA-Ala". It matches the Rfam family "tRNA". Rfam says of the family: Transfer RNA (tRNA) molecules are approximately 80 nucleotides in length. Their secondary structure includes four short double-helical elements and three loops (D, anti-codon, and T loops). Further hydrogen bonds mediate the characteristic L-shaped molecular structure. tRNAs have two regions of fundamental functional importance: the anti-codon, which is responsible for specific mRNA codon recognition, and the 3' end, to which the tRNAs corresponding amino acid is attached (by aminoacyl-tRNA synthetases). tRNAs cope with the degeneracy of the genetic code in two manners: having more than one tRNA (with a specific anti-codon) for a particular amino acid; and 'wobble' base-pairing, i.e. permitting non-standard base-pairing at the 3rd anti-codon position. Lineage: Eukaryota; Metazoa; Chordata; Lepidosauria; Squamata; Sphaerodactylidae. The record is from RNAcentral.
GGGGUUGUGGCUCAGUGGUAGAGCAUCUGUUUGGCAUGCACGAAGUACCAGGUUCAAUCCCUGCCAUCACCA